UGGGGAAUAUUGCACAAUGGGGGGAACCCUGAUGCAGCAACGCCGCGUGAAGGAAGAAGUAUUUCGGUAUGUAAACUUCUAUCAGCAGGGAAGAAAGAAACGACGGUACCUGAAUAAGAAGCCCCGGCUAAUUACGUGCCAGCAGCCGCGGUAAUACGUAAGGGGCAAGCGUUAUCCGGAUUUACUGGGUGUAAAGGGUGAGUAGGCGGUACGGCAAGUCAUAUGUGAAAUUCCGGGGCUUAACCCCGGAGCUGCAUAAGAAACUGUCGGACUAGAGUGCAGGAGAGGUAAGCGGAAUUCCCAGUGUAGCGGUGAAAUGCGUAGAUAUUGGGAAGAACACCGGUGGCGAAGGCGGCUUACUGGACUGUAACUGACGCUGAGUCACGAAAGCGUGGGGAGCGAACAGG
RNAcentral lists this ribosomal RNA (407 nucleotides) under uncultured bacterium. Its description in RNAcentral is "bacterial SSU rRNA". It matches the Rfam family "Bacterial small subunit ribosomal RNA", at positions 355 to 776 of the family's 1533-position model. The record is from RNAcentral.